RNAcentral lists this ribosomal RNA (237 nucleotides) under uncultured Staphylococcus sp. RNAcentral's name for it is "partial 16S ribosomal RNA". It matches the Rfam family "Bacterial small subunit ribosomal RNA", at positions 103 to 334 of the family's 1533-position model. Lineage: Bacteria; Bacillati; Bacillota; Bacilli; Caryophanales; Staphylococcaceae. The record is from RNAcentral.
CGGGUGAGUAACACGUGGAUAACCUACCUAUAAGACUGGGAUAACUUCGGGAAACCGGAGCUAAUACCGGAUAAUAUUUUGAACCGCAUGGUUCAAAAGUGAAAGACGGUCUUGCUGUCACUUAUAGAUGGAUCCGCGCUGCAUUAGUUAGUUGGUAAGGUAACGGCUUACCAAGGCAACGAUGCAUAGCCGACCUGAGAGGGUGAUCGGCCACACUGGAACUGAGACACGGUCCAG